Long non-coding RNA from Erigeron canadensis, 929 nucleotides. RefSeq lists it as uncharacterized. The record is from RefSeq and is a predicted model, not a curated record. The transcript has 3 exons. NCBI's taxonomy places the organism in Eukaryota, Viridiplantae, Streptophyta, Magnoliopsida, Asterales, Asteraceae.
GUCAUAGAACUUCAAAGAUUAAUGGCUCUUUAUUUUAAUAAAGUGAACCUCAAAGUACAUCAACAAAAAGGUCAAUUCACUGAAGUGAUGUAGAUUUAAAGAUUUAUCUUACUAAACAAGAUAAAGCAAGGGUCAUUCUUCCUAUGUAAACAACAAGAAGGAAAUGGAGAUAGAGAUUUUUCACCAAAAAGCUUCAAUAACAGUUGGGUUUCACCAUCAACCUCAACUUCGGUGCUGAGCGUCGCCAAAGAAGCUGCAUAAUAGGGAGUUCACUUGUAGGUAGCUGCAAGGACUGGUGUAUACAUUUUGAAUUAUUUGUUUAUAUCUUUUAUAGUUGUUAUGGAAUUUUUGUUGUACAGUGCUAAUUGGGAGGACAUUAUCAGGUUUUGGUUUGCUUGUAUAUUCUAUGUGAAUGGCCUAAUUGGGAAGGCAGUAGUAACGCUUGGUUUUACGUAUAAAGCAUCUGAGUAAGUUAUCAGUCUUGAUAGCUAUAACUUGGGUUAAAAGGGUGCACCAUAACUUGGGUCAUUUGGGAUUGCUAUGGACUGAGAAGCAAGAAAGAAGAUACACGACUCAUUUGAUGAUGAGAAGGAACAAGUUUUUGAAGAAGAAGAUGACUUUUUCUGAAGGCGAGUAUGAAAAUUUACCUUCGGAUGAUCAUGUAGACUCAAAUCAAAGGUAUCUACAGCCUUUUGUUCUUUCUGUUGUUGUUUGGGGUAUUUGAAAAGUGCAGCAUAGCUGAAUUUUUAGCGUUAUAUUAGGUAUGUAAGGAUUGUUAGUAAGCACAUGGUUGACAUAUACAUUUUAGUCGUGGUUCUUAAGAGGCUAAGAAGACUUAUACAUAGCUUCAAUGUCUCACCGGUUGGGUUCGGGCUUAUGGGAAUUAGAAGUCUUAUUGAAUGACUUUAUUUUUGUAAAUGAUUCCUUGA